This 176-nucleotide ribosomal RNA is filed under the name Pseudomonas syringae pv. syringae. RNAcentral's name for it is "partial 16S ribosomal RNA". It matches the Rfam family "Bacterial small subunit ribosomal RNA", at positions 1367 to 1533 of the family's 1533-position model. The record is from RNAcentral. Lineage: Bacteria; Pseudomonadati; Pseudomonadota; Gammaproteobacteria; Pseudomonadales; Pseudomonadaceae.
UACGUUCCCGGGCCUUGUACACACCGCCCGUCACACCAUGGGAGUGGGUUGCACCAGAAGUAGCUAGUCUAACCUUCGGGAGGACGGUUACCACGGUGUGAUUCAUGACUGGGGUGAAGUCGUAACAAGGUAGCCGUAGGGGAACCUGCGGCUGGAUCACCUCCUUAAUCGACGAC